This 468-nucleotide ribosomal RNA is filed under the name uncultured bacterium. RNAcentral's name for it is "partial 16S ribosomal RNA". It matches the Rfam family "Bacterial small subunit ribosomal RNA", at positions 28 to 507 of the family's 1533-position model. The record is from RNAcentral.
GACGAACGCUGGCGGCGUGCUUAACACAUGCAAGUCGAACGGUGAAGCUCCAGCUUGCUGGAGUGGAUCAGUGGCGAACGGGUGAGUAACACGUGAGCAACCUGCCCCUGACUCUGGAAUAAGCGCUGGAAACGGCGUCUAAUACUGGAUACGAGAAGGGUCCGCAUGGGCACUUUCUGGAAAGUUUUUCGGUUGGGGAUGGGCUCGCGGCCUAUCAGCUUGUUGGUGAGGUAAUGGCUCACCAAGGCGACGACGGGUAGCCGGCCUGAGAGGGCGACCGGCCACACUGGGACUGAGACACGGCACAGACUCCUACGGGAGGCAGCAGUGGGGAAUAUUGCACAAUGGGCGAAAGCCUGAUGCAGCGACGCCGCGUGAGGGAUGACGGCCUUCGGGUUGUAAACCUCUUUCAGCAGGGAAGAAGCGAAAGUGACGGUACCUGCAGAAGAAGCACCGGCUAACUACGUG